GCAUCGGUGGUUCAGUGGUAGAAUGCUCGCUUGCCACGCGGGCGCCCAGGGUUCGAUUCCCGGCCGAUGCA
This 71-nucleotide transfer RNA is filed under the name Cordylochernes scorpioides. RNAcentral's name for it is "tRNA-Gly". It matches the Rfam family "tRNA". From Rfam's summary of the family: Transfer RNA (tRNA) molecules are approximately 80 nucleotides in length. Their secondary structure includes four short double-helical elements and three loops (D, anti-codon, and T loops). The record is from RNAcentral. Lineage: Eukaryota; Metazoa; Arthropoda; Arachnida; Pseudoscorpiones; Chernetidae.